GGCUCUUUGGCGUCGCGGUCAAAGCUGUAGUUUAGUACCCUGUAGACCCAGGUUCAAGGCCAGGUGGGGUGA
RNAcentral lists this transfer RNA (72 nucleotides) under Megalops atlanticus (tarpon). RNAcentral describes it as "tRNA-OTHER". The record is from RNAcentral. Lineage: Eukaryota; Metazoa; Chordata; Actinopteri; Elopiformes; Megalopidae.